UGGAUGUUAAGCCCAACCUCUCUUGGUGAA
RNAcentral lists this non-coding RNA (30 nucleotides) under Homo sapiens (human). Lineage: Eukaryota; Metazoa; Chordata; Mammalia; Primates; Hominidae. The record is from RNAcentral.